GACGAACGCUGGCGGCGUGCUUAACACAUGCAAGUCGAACGGAAAGGCCCUGCUUUUGUGGGGUGCUCGAGUGGCGAACGGGUGAGUAACACGUGAGUAACCUGCCCUUGACUUUGGGAUAACUUCAGGAAACUGGGGCUAAUACCGGAUAGGAGCUCCUGCUGCAUGGUGGGGGUUGGAAAGUUUCGGCGGUUGGGGAUGGACUCGCGGCUUAUCAGCUUGUUGGUGGGGUAGUGGCUUACCAAGGCUUUGACGGGUAGCCGGCCUGAGAGGGUGACCGGCCACAUUGGGACUGAGAUACGGCCCGGACUCCUACGGGAGGCAGCGGGGGGGAAUAUUGCACAAUGGGCGGAAGCCUGAUGCAGCAACGCCGCGUGCGGGAGGACGGCCUUCGGGUGGUAAACCGCUUUCGCCUGUGACGAAGCGUGAGUGACGGUAAUGGGUAAAGAAGCACCGGCUAACUACGUG
RNAcentral lists this ribosomal RNA (468 nucleotides) under uncultured bacterium. Its description in RNAcentral is "partial 16S ribosomal RNA". It matches the Rfam family "Bacterial small subunit ribosomal RNA", at positions 28 to 507 of the family's 1533-position model. The record is from RNAcentral.